CCUCAUUUUCUUCAAUGACAGUUCCCAUUUUCCUCCUUCUCCUUUUCAUCACCAGACGUAAGUUCUAAAACCAAAACCUCAUUGAUGCUGAUCCAUCUCCACUUAGUCAUCCUCGCAUCUCCAUAACACAAUCACUAUUUGGUAAUAUCAUCCUCCUCUUUAUUCUCCUUUUUUAUUUCUCACUCUUUCUUUUUUGUUUUGUGGUAUUGGUUUUUGGUUAUGAGUCUAGUGUUGAGUAUAGUGUUGGUUCUGUGUGUUUUGUGGUAUUGGUUUUUUGGUUAUGAGUGUUUUAUCUCUCACCUUUUGUUUCUUUUUUGGUUACAAAGUUACUAGUAUAUGUAAGAAAGUUACUCAUAUAUGCCAAUAUAUGUAAAUUCAGGGUUGUAUAAUAAUUCAGGUUUGUUUCUAUUUAAUAGUAAAAGCUAAAAGAUGGGAUGAAAAAUGUUCAAGAGAAAAAUAAGUCUGCAAUGGAUCAUCCCUCUAUUAUAAGUCAAAUACU
This is a non-coding RNA of Lupinus albus (white lupine), 499 nucleotides long. The record is from the annotation of a GenBank genome assembly. NCBI's taxonomy places the organism in Eukaryota, Viridiplantae, Streptophyta, Magnoliopsida, Fabales, Fabaceae.